Molecule: long non-coding RNA, 251 nt
Organism: Eurytemora carolleeae
Lineage: Eukaryota; Metazoa; Arthropoda; Copepoda; Calanoida; Temoridae
Exons: 4
Source: RefSeq, a predicted model, not a curated record
UUUCUGCAUCAAUAUACCUUCAAGCCGACAAGGGAAUAAUGAUAUUCCUCUCUGCUCAUUAUAAUGAUGAAAACGCAGAAAAUGAGAAAACCAGAGGAGAUGAUGGCAGUUGUUGAUAAAAUAGAAGAAGAAGAUGGUGUAAUAACUGUCUAUUUUAACACUCCUUACGAGGUAGAAGUUGAUGAUCCUAUUAUUGAGUUUACUUCCAACAAGAAACUAUCUCAACUGAGACCAGUUUACACAUCAGCAGG